RNAcentral lists this ribosomal RNA (497 nucleotides) under uncultured bacterium. RNAcentral's name for it is "partial 16S ribosomal RNA". It matches the Rfam family "Bacterial small subunit ribosomal RNA", at positions 28 to 507 of the family's 1533-position model. The record is from RNAcentral.
GAUGAACGCUGGCGGCGUGCCUAAUACAUGCCAAUCGAGCGAACAGACGAGGAGCUUGCUCCUCUGACGUUAGCGGCGGACGGGUGAGUAACACGUGGAUAACCUACCUAUAAGACUGGGAUAACUUCGGGAAACCGGAGCUAAUACCGGAUAAUAUAUUGAACCGCAUGGUUCAAUAGUGAAAGACGGUUUUGCUGUCACUUAUAGAUGGAUCCGCGCCGCAUUAGCUAGUUGGUAAGGUAACGGCUUACCAAGGCAACGAUGCGUAGCCGACCUGAGAGGGUGAUCGGCCACACUGGAACUGAGACACGGUCCAGACUCCUACGGGAGGCAGCAGUAGGGAAUCUUCCGCAAUGGGCGAAAGCCUGACGGAGCAACGCCGCGUGAGUGAUGAAGGUCUUCGGAUCGUAAAACUCUGUUAUUAGGGAAGAACAAAUGUGUAAGUAACUAUGCACGUCUUGACGGUACCUAAUCAGAAAGCCACGGCUAACUACGUG